This is a long non-coding RNA of Salarias fasciatus (jewelled blenny), 624 nucleotides long. RefSeq lists it as uncharacterized. Lineage: Eukaryota; Metazoa; Chordata; Actinopteri; Blenniiformes; Blenniidae. The transcript is spliced from 6 exons. The record is from RefSeq and is a predicted model, not a curated record.
CAACGAGCUUCGACUGGUUUCAUGUUGACAGGAACAGUGAAGCUGGUUUUGUCUCCAGACGCUGUGCAGUGAUCCCAGAGAGACGACCCGACGGACUGGAGGAAAGCUUCUUCUCUCCUGAAGUUUCCUCCAGAGGAGAAAGAGUCUGGAAGAUGAGCUGAAGAGAUCACCGUCCCUAAAGCUGGAGAACAAUCUGGGAAUUCUGCUUCUUAAUGAGAGGAAGAGCCGACAUCCAGGGCUGAUUCUGCGAUGGACGGCUGUGAGGACAGACAGGAGGGAGUCCGUCCCUCUAAAAUACGUCUCCAUGUGGAAGAUGAGAGACAGAGCAGAGCUCAGAGGUCUGACUCCUGGCCUCCGUCCAGCUGUGUGUCUCUGAAGAGUGACCAGUCCAAGUUUGAAACCAUUUUAUUCAGAGAAUCUCACCAACAUCCAGACGAUGGCUCUGACUCUGAGUUUCCAUCCAGCUGUGUGUCCCUGAAGAGUGAUGGAUCCAGGGUGCAACCCAUUUCAUUUAAAUCAGGACCAGGACCUGCUGAUGAGGGCGUCAGCCAGCAGAGCUCCCAGGUUCUCCAUGGAGGCUCUGCCCCUCAGCAUCCAGCACAUCUGGACUCCAUCUUUAUGGUG